UAGCUAGUAUGGACGGGAUAAUUGCUGAAAGCAUCUAAGUAAGAAACCUUCCUCAAGAUUAGAUUUCCCCAUUAGGGUCGUGGUAGACUACCACGUUGAUAGGCUGGGUGUGUAAGUACGGUAACGUAUGUAGCUAACCAGUACUAAUAGCCCGAUAGGCUUA
This 163-nucleotide ribosomal RNA is filed under the name Anaplasma phagocytophilum. Its description in RNAcentral is "partial 23S ribosomal RNA". It matches the Rfam family "Bacterial large subunit ribosomal RNA", at positions 2746 to 2925 of the family's 2925-position model. The record is from RNAcentral. Lineage: Bacteria; Pseudomonadati; Pseudomonadota; Alphaproteobacteria; Rickettsiales; Anaplasmataceae.